Molecule: ribosomal RNA, 470 nt
Filed under: uncultured organism
Description: partial 16S ribosomal RNA
Rfam family: Bacterial small subunit ribosomal RNA
Source: RNAcentral
ACUCCUGCGGGAGGCAGCAGUGGGGAAUUUUGGACAAUGGGCGCAAGCCUGAUCCAGCCAUGCCGCGUGCGGGAAGAAGGCCUUCGGGUUGUAAACCGCUUUUGUCAGGGAAGAAAAGGUUCUGGCUAAUACCUGGGACUCAUGACGGUACCUGAAGAAUAAGCACCGGCUAACUACGUGCCAGCAGCCGCGGUAAUACGUAGGGUGCAAGCGUUAAUCGGAAUUACUGGGCGUAAAGCGUGCGCAGGCGGUUAUGCAAGACAGAGGUGAAAUCCCCGGGCUCAACCUGGGAACUGCCUUUGUGACUGCAUGGCUAGAGUACGGUAGAGGGGGAUGGAAUUCCGCGUGUAGCAGUGAAAUGCGUAGAUAUGCGGAGGAACACCGAUGGCGAAGGCAAUCCCCUGGACCUGUACUGACGCUCAUGCACGAAAGCGUGGGGAGCAAACAGGAUUAGAUACCCCAGUAGUCCC